This 1027-nucleotide long non-coding RNA is filed under the name Astyanax mexicanus (Mexican tetra). RNAcentral describes it as "lncRNA (ENSAMXG00005012832.1)". The record is from RNAcentral. Lineage: Eukaryota; Metazoa; Chordata; Actinopteri; Characiformes; Acestrorhamphidae.
UUGUGAUGUANCCUCACUCUACCUUACUCUCACACUCUACCUCACUUUACCUUACUCUCUCACUCUUCCUCACUCUACCUUACUCUCACACUCUACCUCACUUUACCUUACUCUCUCACUCUUCCUCACUCUACCUUACUCUCUCACUCUACCUCACUCUACCUUACUCUCUCACUCUACCUUACUCUCUCACUCUUUCUCACUCUGCCUUACUCUCUCAGUCUACCUUACUCUCACACUCUACCUCACUUUACCUUACUCUCUCACUCUUCCUCACUCUACCUUACUCUCUCACUCUACCUCACUCUACCUUACUCUCUCACUCUAUCUUACUCUCUCACUCUUUCUCACUCUGCCUUACUCUCUCAGUCUACCUUACUCUCUCACUCUACCUCACUCUACCUUACUCUCUCACUCUACCUCACUCUACCUUACUCUCACUCUAUCUUACUCUCUCACUCUGCCUUACUCUCUCAGUCUACCUUACUCUCUCACUCUACCUCACUCUACCUUACUCUCUCCCUCUACCUCCCUCUACUUUACUUUCUCACUCUACCUCACUCUUUUACUUUACCUUAUUUUCAUUCUACCUUGCUCUACUUACUCUCUCACUCUUCCUCACUCUACCUUACUUUCUCACUCUACCUUACUCUACCUUACUCUCUCACUCUGCUUUUGCUAACCUUGCUCUUCCUUUCUCCAACACGAUACCUCUUCCUCUUUUUAUCUCGCUCUGACUUACUCUACCUCACUUUACCUACCACACUAAUUUAUUCAGCCUCACUCUACCUCACUACGUCACUCUGCCUUCUGCCUUGCUCUGACUCACUCUACUUCACUCUGCUGUACUCUACCUCGUUAUGUCACGUAAGCACAGUCUGCAGUGUGAAUAGCUCCCUCUGUUGCUGCAUGCGAGUAAUGCAGUUUGAGUUUACUGUUAUUCACUACAAUGUUACAGCACCUCUUUUGAUGUGUUUAUUGUGAAAAACUCAUAUGACAAUAAUGAUAAAAAAAAAUUUAUAGCCCA